CGGCCGCCCGCGCAGGCGCCCCCCAGGGGGUCCCCGGCCCCACCGCCCGCGGCGCUCUCCACUUUGAUGAGGCGGUGCUUGGGGGAGAUGUAGCGCACCUCGGCCGGCGUGGCGGGCCGCCGCUCGCUGCUGCUGCGGUAGAGAUGCGGAGAGCCGGAGGACGAGGACGAGGACGCGGCGGCCCCCGCGCCCGAGGAGGCGCAGCAACAGCCCGCGGCGCCCGACGCGGACGAGGCCGAGAAGGCGCGCUGGACCCCGCCUGGCUCCCCGCUGCCGCCGCAGUAGUCCAGGCGGCACAUGGCGCGCAGUUUGCGCAGCGACGAGCCAGGCCCGUUGUAGGGGUCCUCGAAGUCUCGCUCCUUCUGCGCGCGGUAGGCGCGGAUGAGGUCGCUGGUGCUGCCGCUGUCGUCGGGCAGCGAGCCCGAAGAGGCUGAGAAGCAGGAGGCGGUGGCCGGACCGCAGGACGCCGAGGCGGCGGAGGAGGCCUGCGGCACGGCCUGGGGGGGCUGCGAAGGCCGCUCGCCUCGGCGCCGCUGCUCGCGGUAGUCUGGCCGCGGCGGCUGCGGGGGGCUCUUGGUCUUGCUGUUGCCCAAGCUGAAGUACUUGUUUAGCCACUUGGCCAUGGCGAGAGGCCGCCUAGGGCCGCGGCGCGGGAGCCCGGUCCGCCGCCGCGGCCAUUCGGGGGGCAGCGCUGCG
RNAcentral lists this long non-coding RNA (696 nucleotides) under Homo sapiens (human). Its description in RNAcentral is "long non-coding RNA NONHSAT131132.2". The record is from RNAcentral. Lineage: Eukaryota; Metazoa; Chordata; Mammalia; Primates; Hominidae.